UGCUAGAUUGAUGGCGAGUGGCGAACGGGUGAGUAAUACAUCGGAACGUGCCCUGUAGUGGGGGAUAACUAGUCGAAAGAUUAGCUAAUACCGCAUACGACCUGAGGGUGAAAGUGGGGGACCGCAAGGCCUCAUGCUAUAGGAGCGGCCGAUGUCUGAUUAGCUAGUUGGUGGGGUAAAGGCCCACCAAGGCGACGAUCAGUAGCUGGUCUGAGAGGACGAUCAGCCACACUGGGACUGAGACACGGCCCAGACUCCUACGGGAGGCAGCAGUGGGGAAUUUUGGACAAUGGGCGAAAGCCUGAUCCAGCAAUGCCGCGUGUGUGAAGAAGGCCUUCGGGUUGUAAAGCACUUUUGUCCGGAAAGAAAUGGCUCUGGUUAAUACCUGGGGUCGAUGAUGGUACCGGAAGAAUAAGGACCGGCUAACUACGUGCCAGCAGCCGCGGUAAUACGUAGGGUCCAAGCGUUAAUCGGAAUUACUGGGCGUAAAGCGUGCGCAGGCGGUUGUGCAAGACCGAUGUGAAAUCCCCGAGCUUAACUUGGGAAUUGCAUUGGUGACUGCACGGCUAGAGUGUGUCAGAGGGGGGUAGAAUUCCACGUGUAGCAGUGAAAUGCGUAGAGAUGUGGAGGAAUACCGAUGGCGAAGGCAGCCCCCUGGGAUAACACUGACGCUCAUGCACGAAAGCGUGGGGAGCAAACAGGAUUAGAUACCCUGGUAGUCCACGCCCUAAACGAUGUCAACUAGUUGUUGGGGAUUCAUUUCCUUAGUAACGUAGCUAACGCGUGAAGUUGACUGCCUGGGGAGUACGGUCGCAAGAUUAAAACUCAAAGGAAUUGACGGGGACCCGCACAAGCGGUGGAUGAUGUGGAUUAAUUCGAUGCAACGCGAAAAACCUUACC
This 900-nucleotide ribosomal RNA is filed under the name uncultured bacterium. RNAcentral's name for it is "bacterial SSU rRNA". It matches the Rfam family "Bacterial small subunit ribosomal RNA", at positions 78 to 975 of the family's 1533-position model. The record is from RNAcentral.